GACAGAGGGUGCAAACGUUUGUUCGGAAUUACUGGGCGUAAAGCGCGUGUAGGCUGCUCGGAAAGUCGGAUGUGAAAGCCCUGGGCUCAACCUAGGAAGUGCAUUCGAAACUUCCGAGCUGGAGUUCUGGAGAGGAAGGCGGAAUUCUCGGUGUAGAGGUGAAAUUCGUAGAUAUCGAGAGGAACACCGGUGGCGAAGGCGGCCAACUGGACGAAUACUGACGCUGAGACACGAAAGCGUGGGGAGCAAACAGG
Molecule: ribosomal RNA, 254 nt
Filed under: uncultured bacterium
Lineage: Bacteria
Description: partial 16S ribosomal RNA
Rfam family: Bacterial small subunit ribosomal RNA
Source: RNAcentral